AGCAGCCGCGGUAAUUCCAGCUCCAAUAGCGUAUAUUAAAGUUGUUGCAGUUAAAAAGCUCGUAGUUGAAUUUCGGGGUUCUACCGUCGGUCGGGCUACCAAGUCUGUACUGGUGUGUAGAAUCCCUACCUUCUGGGGAACUAUCAUGUUAUUAAUUUAGCGUGGUGGGAAACCAGGACCUUUACCUUGAAAAAUUAGAGUGUUCAAAGCAGGCUUAUGUCUGAAUACAUUAGCAUGGAAUAAUAGAAUAGGACGGUGGUCCUGUUUUGUUGGUUUCUGAAUCACCGUAAUGAUUAAUAGGGAUAGUUGGGGGCAUUAGUAUUCAAUUGUCAGAGGUGAAAUUCUUGGAUUUAUUGAAGACUAACUUCUGCGAAAGCAUUCGCCAAGGAUGUU
This 393-nucleotide unclassified non-coding RNA is filed under the name uncultured Glomus. RNAcentral's name for it is "SSU rRNA". It matches the Rfam family "Eukaryotic small subunit ribosomal RNA", at positions 569 to 968 of the family's 1831-position model. The record is from RNAcentral. Lineage: Eukaryota; Fungi; Glomeromycota; Glomeromycetes; Glomerales; Glomeraceae.